Molecule: long non-coding RNA, 434 nt
Organism: Cydia strobilella
Lineage: Eukaryota; Metazoa; Arthropoda; Insecta; Lepidoptera; Tortricidae
Exons: 2
Source: RefSeq, a predicted model, not a curated record
CAAAAAAUGGAACCCUUAUGGAUCCAUCAUGUCUGUCUGUCUGUCCGUCCGUAUGUUACAGCCACUUUUUUCCGAAACUAUAAGAACUAUACUGUUGAAACUUGAUAAGAAGAGAUGUGAACCGCAUUAAGAUUUUCUCACAAAAAUAGAAAAAAAAAACAAUAAAUUUUUGGGGUUCCCCAUACUUAGAACUGAAACUCAAAAAAUGUUUUUUCAUCAGACCCAUACGUUUUUAAUAUAUAUUUUUUCUAAACUGAAUAGUUUGCGCGAGCGACACUUCCAAAGUGGUAAAAUGUGUGCCCCCCCCCCCCUGUAACUUCUAAAAUAAGAGAAUGAUAAACUAAAAAAAUAUAUGAUGUACAUUACCAUGCAAACUUCCACCGAAAAUUGGUUUGAACGAGAUUUAGUAAGUAGUUUUUUUAGUACGUCAUAAA